This is a long non-coding RNA of Oreochromis niloticus (Nile tilapia), 1330 nucleotides long. RefSeq lists it as uncharacterized. The transcript is spliced from 2 exons. Lineage: Eukaryota; Metazoa; Chordata; Actinopteri; Cichliformes; Cichlidae. The record is from RefSeq and is a predicted model, not a curated record.
UUUUCAGACAGAAGCUCAUCAUGCUGACAGUAUUCAGUUUGUUUUGGCUCACUGGUGUUUGUCUGGGUGUUAAAGUUUCCCAAACACCUGUGGAAGUUUUCAGAACACCUGGAGAAAAUGUCCAGCUGGUCUGCAGCCAUGAAAAGACUGACUACGUGCUCAUGCAGUGGUACCAGAAAUCCCCUGGAGACCAGGCUCUGAAGCGCAUUGGACAUUUAUAUCACAACAGCAAAGAGCAUGAGGAAGUGUUUAAGACACAUUUUAAUAUUAGUGGAGAUUUAAGUGGAGAGAAAGCAAAGAAUGCUUCUCUGUUUAUAGUGGACCUAAAGGCACCUGAGCACAGUGCAGUGUAUUACUGUGCAGCAAGCUAUGCACACUGAGAGGAAAACCCCUCCCUGUAAUACAAAAACUCAAAACCACCCACUUUAAUGGUCUUAUGGAUCUAAACUGAACAUACUCCUCCCACCUCUUGGUUAGAUCCCGGCCAGUAUAGUGUUCACUUUAUUUUCAUCUUAAAGUUUAAGACAAAUCAGUAAAGUCCGACAUCCAAACAUAGCAAGUUCAAUUUAAAGACACGUUAUCAAAGGAGGGUCACAAUGAUUGUUUUUCUCUUUUUCUGGUGCCUCACAGGUAAUACCUUGUUUGCACACCAUAAGAUCCUGUUGACAUUUAUAUUGUGUCAUUAAGUGUAUCAUCUGUUAUAAUUUAACCAGAAUUUUUUUAUGUUUGUCUAUUCAGGCGAUGUUAACAUGGAAAUGGUUUCAUUAAAUGUGUCGGGUUACGGUCUAAAUUGAAUUUUCUUCAUUCUCUAUCCAGGUGUCUGUCUGGGUGUAGAGGUCCGUCAGACUCCCUCUGAGUUCAUCACAAAUGUUGAAUCCAAAGUGCAGAUUUUCUGCAGCCAUAAAAAGACUGACUACAGGGUGAUGCUCUGGUACCAGCAGCCACCCGGAGAGACAGCUAUGAAACUCAUUGGAUUUUUAAACGUCAAAGCUGUCACAUUUGACCAGGACCAAUAUAAAGAUCAUUUUGAUUUUACAGGAGAUUUAAGUGGGGAUACCGCAAAAAAUGGCUCUCUGAUAGUCAAAGUGGCAAAACAUGAGCACAGUGCAGUGUACUACUGUGCAGCUAGAUAUGCACAAUGACAAAAAGAUUCUCUGAACAUUACAAAAACCCCACGGUCUGGAAUCAUCAGUGGUUUGAAAAAAGAAAAACUGAUUUGAGACACCUGUUUUUGUGGUUUUGGUUUUUACUUUUGAUACAGUUUUGCUGGCUUAUGCCAAUUUUACCAGACUAAUGAGAUUUCUAAUGUGUAAUAAAAACUUAAAAGCGA